AUUGAACGCUGGCGGAAUGCUUUACACAUGCAAGUCGAGCGGCAGCGCGGGGCAACCUGGCGGCGAGCGGCGAACGGGUGAGUAAUGCAUCGGAACGUACCCCGUCGUGGGGGAGUAACUACCCGAAAGGGUAGCUAAUACCGCAUACGACCUGAGGGUGAAAGCGGGGGACCGAAAGGCCUCGCGCGAUGGGAGCGGCCGAUGCCGGAUUAGCUAGUUGGUAGGGUAAAGGCCUACCAAGGCGACGAUCCGUAGCUGGUCUGAGAGGACGACCAGCCACACUGGAACUGAGACACGGUCCAGACUCCUACGGGAGGCAGCAGUGGGGAAUUUUGGACAAUGGGCGAAAGCCUGAUCCAGCCAUUCCGCGUGAGUGAAGAAGGCC
This 385-nucleotide ribosomal RNA is filed under the name uncultured bacterium. Its description in RNAcentral is "bacterial SSU rRNA". It matches the Rfam family "Bacterial small subunit ribosomal RNA", at positions 29 to 416 of the family's 1533-position model. The record is from RNAcentral.